CACAUACGAUUGUAACCUACGGGACCUCGCCAACCUGCCUAAACCCUGUCCCAUCACACACACAUACGAUUGUGACCUAGACCAGAAGUCUGCUAUAACUUGCGAUUUGACGCGCGCCAUUACCGUACUGCGUUCCCAUACAAGUUAUGGAUGCGAAUUACAAUUGAAGGGACAGUCCGACAAGCGGGGGUACACCGUACCCACGCCGCGAGGGACCGUCUCCGGCCCAGAGAGAAACACCCACCCCCUGGUUGACUGCCGACCUUCAUAGCGGUACGCGCAUGAGUCGAAGCCAAGCCGAAGCCCGCCAAAGCCCCACCGCCACGUAACACCCCUCAUCUCGUUUAGGUCUUUUGGCGGCAGCGCCAACGCAAAACAAGGCACGACAGGCCAGUGGUCUGCCGACAGCCCCAUCAAACGCAAGCACCACACAAAUAUCACGUCCGAAGACGAUGGCUGGCGUCAGAGACGCGCAAUGUCUUGGCCCGAAGGCCCAUGUCUGAUAGUCUGUGCCGAGGCACAACUGGAACCGGAAGCCAAGCCGAAACACCACCAAGCCACAGCACACCACAGCCCCUCGCAAAGGGCGCACCACCCACCAUCCGUCCAACCAACGACCCAGGCCGACCCUCCACACAAGCCCCAGCGGCACUCGGAGACGAGAAGAGCCAACAGUCGCCCGGGCGCCCGGGCAACAGCCGCCCGUGCACACACACCCCAAACCCGGGACUACCCGACUGCGGUCACCACGCGCCUACCGGUCCGUGAACCGUAUGCUGCGAGCUAAAACCCCCAGGGCUAAA
This 803-nucleotide long non-coding RNA is filed under the name Chlamydomonas reinhardtii. RNAcentral's name for it is "long non-coding RNA (CREI_LNC001316)". The record is from RNAcentral. Lineage: Eukaryota; Viridiplantae; Chlorophyta; Chlorophyceae; Chlamydomonadales; Chlamydomonadaceae.